GACAUAGGUGGCGAACGUUAUCCGGAAUUACUGGGCGUAAAGAGUGCGUAGGUGGUUCAAUAAGUUACUGGUGGGAAAUCGGGGCUCAACCUCGUGGAAGUCAGUAAUACUAUUAAACUAGAGGGUCGGAGAGGUUAAUGGAAUUCUAUGUGUAGCGGUAAAAUGCUUAAAUAUAUAGAGGAACACCAAACGGCGAAGGCAGUUAACUAUUCGAUUCCUGACGUUGAGGCACGAAAGCGUGGGGAGCAAGACGGG
RNAcentral lists this ribosomal RNA (255 nucleotides) under uncultured bacterium. Its description in RNAcentral is "partial 16S ribosomal RNA". It matches the Rfam family "Bacterial small subunit ribosomal RNA", at positions 524 to 777 of the family's 1533-position model. The record is from RNAcentral.